GCCUGGGUGGCUCAGCUGGUUAAGCGUCUGACUUCAGCUCAGGUCAUGAUGUCACAAUCCGUGGGUUCAAGCCCCGCGUUGGGCU
Molecule: transfer RNA, 85 nt
Filed under: Felis catus (domestic cat)
Lineage: Eukaryota; Metazoa; Chordata; Mammalia; Carnivora; Felidae
Rfam family: tRNA
About the family: Transfer RNA (tRNA) molecules are approximately 80 nucleotides in length. Their secondary structure includes four short double-helical elements and three loops (D, anti-codon, and T loops). Further hydrogen bonds mediate the characteristic L-shaped molecular structure. tRNAs have two regions of fundamental functional importance: the anti-codon, which is responsible for specific mRNA codon recognition, and the 3' end, to which the tRNAs corresponding amino acid is attached (by aminoacyl-tRNA synthetases). tRNAs cope with the degeneracy of the genetic code in two manners: having more than one tRNA (with a specific anti-codon) for a particular amino acid; and 'wobble' base-pairing, i.e. permitting non-standard base-pairing at the 3rd anti-codon position.
Source: Rfam by way of RNAcentral